Long non-coding RNA from Hippocampus zosterae (dwarf seahorse), 323 nucleotides. RefSeq lists it as uncharacterized. The transcript has 2 exons. Lineage: Eukaryota; Metazoa; Chordata; Actinopteri; Syngnathiformes; Syngnathidae. The record is from RefSeq and is a predicted model, not a curated record.
UAUGGCACAUUGUUAUGUUCAAACUACCGGUAUGCAUAAUCUUACAGUGGCUAAUAAUAACAUCAAAUAUACAUUUUAAGAAUACAUGUAAAGCCUGUUUUUGAUCACUACUUUUAGGUCUACUACGUUAUUGUAUGUUAGUUAUGUUCAAACAAACAGAUGGCUAAAUGCAGAACAAGUGCACACAAGUACAAUCAACCUACAACUUUUUCCUUCAGGGUUUGGAGGGCACACUGAUGGGAAGGCAGGCAAAGAGGAUGAUGAUGUGGAUGGGUGAGGCAAUGGUGAUGACAAUGAAGAUGCACACUCAAGUGAUGUACUUC